RNAcentral lists this unclassified non-coding RNA (220 nucleotides) under Hevea brasiliensis (rubber tree). The record is from RNAcentral. Lineage: Eukaryota; Viridiplantae; Streptophyta; Magnoliopsida; Malpighiales; Euphorbiaceae.
GGCCUCGCAGCACGCUUAGUCUUAUCAAAUUCCUCUUCCAGAUCAUACUUCGCCGGCCUUGCAGCGCGCUCAGUCUCACCAGUGGUGGAGUUACCGGUUCCACCGGACUCAGAUUCCACCCCCAGAUCGUACUUCGCCGGCCUCGCAGCGCGCUUAGUCUUAUCAGAUUCCUCCGAAGAGUAAUCCAUGAGGAAGGAGGUGCUGGAUCUGAAAAGGUGGA